Molecule: long non-coding RNA, 1355 nt
Filed under: Phoenix dactylifera (date palm)
Lineage: Eukaryota; Viridiplantae; Streptophyta; Magnoliopsida; Arecales; Arecaceae
Description: long non-coding RNA (PDAC_LNC001435)
Source: RNAcentral
UAUUGUGUCUUCCCCAAUUGCAAGGAGUUGGAAAAUCUUGAGCUUUGUUGGCUUUUUCCCAGUAGUCCAAUAGACCAAUACCAGCAUAGAACUGGGCCUCAGUAUUUUUGGUUAGCGCUUUUGCCGCUGAAUUGCUGCUGUUCAGUUAAGAAGUUUUAUUUUUUCCAAGAUGAAAAUUAGAGCUUCUCUUGCAUGGGUGUAUGUAAAACUUGUCAUCUAUUUUCCUUGCAUCAAAUCAUUGACCAAUAAUCAAUGGAAGCUGCAUCAUAAAAGAAGUUCCACUGUUCUUUGGAUGAUCUGUUACGAUGGAUUGGUCACUGGCCAGAGUCCAUUUACUUCCAUGUAGGCUUUGUGGCAUUUAUCUUGCAGGUUCUAAAAUAUUUGUUGUUUCUUAUGUUUGUGGUAUGCCAUUGUUGUUAUACCAAACUGCUGGUUCGUAGCAUAGGAACAUAUCACUGCUAAUAUGUGUAGGAACAUGUCAAAGGAGCAACACACAGGAUUCCAACUUUAAUGUUGAUGGCUCAAUUUUUGCCCCCAUGAUGUGCAUAUAUGGAUCACGAUGACUUACGCAUGAUGCCCUGCCCUUCUUGGCCCUCCCUGAUUGCAUGCAGUUUUCCCCACAUUCUUAGCGUAGUACCUUAAGACUUGCAACUGCACCACGGUGUGGUUAACUCCUUGUCACUCCCAACUUUUCACAACUGGAUUGGAAAUCUGACAGGCUUCCGACGCUUGUUUAGGUAAUGUAAACUUCCUCCUCUUCCUAGACCUUAAGCCUUUUACCUCUCUUAUUAUUGAGCUAACUAGUAGUAGAUGGUUAAGGUAAACGCCCUAGAGGGAACUCAUCGAGUGUCUGAUACUACAUUAAGGAUAAAAUCUUGGUCAUUAUUUCCAGGUUUAUUGGAAUAGAAUCAUACAGGGAAUGUGCGUGAAAAAAAAAGAAGAAAGCAGAAAUCCAAGGCAGUUGAUCUUAACCCUAAUAAAUGUUACAAACUUGUUUUCAUGCUCUAACCGUCUUUCAGAGUUACUCAGUUUGACGCCCUGAACCGUCUGUAUAUCCAAGGCAGCAUUUAGUUCAGGAAAAAGAAGUGGAGUAGGAAUAAUUAUUUUUGUUGGAAUAUUCUCUCACAGGUCAUGUCUGUUGGGAUUGUUAUGUCACAGGUUCUUCCUACUUUUUUGUACACUCUGAAAUAAAUUUCGAUUGAGGUUUUGGAGGAGAAUUAGUUUUAUGCUAGGAAUAGUUUAUUACAGAUGAUAUAGUUUUGUCUGGAAUAAGCAAAUUUGAUUGGCGUAGCUAUACAUGUUAUUCUAAAAGGCUGUUCUGUAUGCAUUAAAAACUCUUUUUUUUGCUGAAAAUG